RNAcentral lists this ribosomal RNA (253 nucleotides) under uncultured bacterium. RNAcentral's name for it is "partial 16S ribosomal RNA". It matches the Rfam family "Bacterial small subunit ribosomal RNA", at positions 524 to 776 of the family's 1533-position model. The record is from RNAcentral.
UACGGAGGAUCCAAGCGUUGUCCGGAUUUAUUGGGUUUAAAGGGUGCGUAGGCGGAUUUUUAAGUCAGUGGUGAAAGCCUGCAGCUCAACUGUAGAAUUGCCAUUGAAACUGAAAAUCUUGAAUUUGGUUAAAGUAGGCGGAAUGUAUCAUGUAGCGGUGAAAUGCUUAGAUAUGAUACAGAACACCGAUAGCGAAGGCAGCUUGCUGAACCAAUAUUGACGCUGAGGCACGAAAGCGUGGGGAGCAAACAGG